CUGCUAUUGUAGGUGUCUCCAAGACAUCGGCUUCAGGUUUUGUGUCGGCUUCAGGAUAGAUCUCCAUCACAGGCACAUCAGUUUAAACAGGUUUCUCCGCAUCCAUCAGGUAAUCAGAGGAUCCAAGCUCCGACUCUCCAGAUUCCGAUCCAGGAUCCGAAACCGGUCCUUGAUUCUCAACCAGAACCUCGCUGCCGAUGAAGACUCUGCUGGUUCCGCCGCCGCCGCCUAAACUAUUAAAAAAUCAAAAAUCAGAUUCGAAACCAAAAAAAAAAAGAAAGAAACUCAGAUUCGGACAAGAACAAACAUACAAAUUCAAUAGCGGCAUCGAUCUUAACCUUAGGUCGCUUGGUAGGGGGUGGAGAUGAUGAAGACGGUUCAGGGGAUAAAGAAGAAGAACAGAAACGCUUGAAAGCCGAAGAGCUACGUCUCGUCUCCACGAUAUCCCAAGAAAUCAUAAACAUAUGUAUUUAUUAUUUAAUAACGAAACCAAACUGAGAUAACCAAACCAGACAUGAAUUAUGGGACCCACAAACAUAAAGGAGUCGCUGACGUGGAUAGCUUUAGGAGAGACUAAACUGUGGCAUUAUAAUAUAGAUUGUGUCUCCCAGAGAUUGCAAUCAAUUCAAUAGCCCCAACUCUGAAUCUCGAUGGUUUACAUAGUUUCAUGGGACGAAUUCGUAGAUCGAUCUGUUCAGCUUUUCAAAGCUGAUCCCGAAUCUGUAAGUUAUCUUUAUCUUUCCCGAUUGCGUUCGUCACAGUUGCUUUGGAGAUUUUGAGCUUCAUUUUAACUGUUUGGGUUAUGAUCCGUCUCGAGUUUUUCGUAUUGAGGAUUCGAUAAACAUUGAUAAUUGAUUUGAAAUAGGCAAUCUACAUGUUUUGUUUCCAGAAUGCAGUAAUUUUGUUUUCUAAUGAAUUAGAUGUUUGGGGUGCAGACUCGGUACGUUGUCAAGUAUAGACAUUGUGAUGGCAAGUUGGUUCUCAAGGUUACUGAUAACAAAGAGGUCGGUACACCCUGUCUACGAUCGCUUCUUGUAAUUGUUUGUGCUUCUCGUAUUGUACGUGUACUAUAAUAGAUACUUGUUGGUUUGGAGAAUGUAGCAGUUUUCUUAUGUAUUGGCCGGGUCAUGAGUUAAAUAAGCAGAUCUACUGGUAGCAGUUUACCUUGGUGAAGCUUGUUUGUGUUUGUUACUCAAAGGUCUAUGCAUUGAGCUACGCCAAAGUUUGAGACAGAGAAUUGCCUCUAUCUCUGUUGUUAAUUAGCUCCUCCCUGUUGUUGCCCUCUUGUUUCAUUAUGUGCAUUUUUUUUUUAAUUUUUUUUUCUUUGAUCUUAGUGUCUCAAGUUCAAGACGGACCAAGCACAAGAAGCAAGGAAGAUGGAGAAACUGAAUAACAUAUUCUUCACCUUCAUGGCCAGAGGACCUGAUGGUAACAUCUUCUUUUCUUUAAUCUUCAUUAAAGAGAUUAUGGAAGUUUCACAGUCGAAGAUGUUCGUAUUAUGGUUCUAUGAAGUUCUACUCUGACUUUAUUGCUUACUUUAUUUAUGCAGUUGAUCUUUCUGAAGUGAACGGGAAAGAACAGAUGGAGACACAACCUGUGAAGAAAGGAAGAGGACGGAAGCAAUAAGUCCCAUGAUUCUGUUUUUCUUUCUUUCUUUUUGGUAUCAAGAUUUUGAUCCAUUUUUGGGGAUAUUCUGAGUUGGGGAUUGUGAUGAUAGGAUUAUUAAAUAUUGGUUCUUAUUUAACCUGACUUUGGAUCUAAAAAUACAUCUUUCAUCGAAAAUGCUAAUUAUGUAACCAUCUUAUCAUCCAAUCUUUCUGUCUGUCCUCUCAGUAAUAUGGCAGUCGGUGUGGCUUCAAUUCAUUUUCUCCCAAGCCCUCCUUUACUCUCAAGUAACAUACAAACUAAUAUUUAUCGGUUUUUAAUCAUAUAUAGUGAUAAGAUUUUGUUUUCGUGAGACUUGUCCCGAAUUGGAAUCAGAAUUGAUAUCAUACUCACUCAUGCAUUUUGACACGAACACCCCGAAAAACCGAAAUAUGACGUUGCUGAAAAUGUAACUUAUCUCAUGCCUGUAUAUAUAUAUAUAUAUAUACGUAUAUAGUGCAACUAUUACCUAAACAUUAAAAGCAUGGAGUUGAUAAAUAGUUUGUGCACGGCCAAGAGAGAGGAAAUCGAUCGGCCAUUAGCUGAUUUCCCGGUGAAUAUAUGGGAAGAUCCCUUGACAUCUUUUGUAGUUUCCGAUACGGUAUGUAUCUUUCCUUGUCAUCACUACAUUCAAUGAAUUAUGAAUACAAAUCAAUGUUAUUGUUUGAAACCGAGUUUGGUCAGAAACAAGUGAGAGAGACGAAACUCGUCGGUGGACUCAUUGGUGGACUAGUAACAAAGGCGUUUUAUUAGACCGAGAAGAAGUUUGUCGGUUACAAGUAAGGAAACAGACGGUGAAACAAGCCGGUGAAACAGAGUUCACCGGAAAAGUACAAGUCGUCAAGAAUUAAAUAAGCAAAACCCUAAUUCUAGCCGUCAAGUGUGUGGGUUGAUUUCGGAUCCCCUUUCUUGAUGUCGCCUCGUUUCCUUUUAUAGCCGGUCUCCAUGAGUUAAUCACUUUUAAUCGCCUGCUUGAGUCGGCUAAAAGUAGUUACGAGCCGAAUGUCUCGUCUGUCUUGGACAACUUUUAGUCGCCGUAUGUUGGUUUGUUGUUUCUCGGUUUUGGUUAACCAGGUUAUCUUUUUCUAUAAACCAAUCGUUUUGUCCCGGUUGAAUUCGGUAUGGAUUGAUAUAACCGGUUAGGUGCAAACCGGGUUUCAGUUUGCACUGAGAAGCGGAACUGUCACCAUGACAUAUAUUAAGUCUAUUUUUGUUAUGUUUCAAAACCCCGAUACAUAAUUCGUCAGAAAUUUGUCGAAAAUUUAUGAUGAAUUUAUGACAAAUAUAUUUCUGACGAAUUUCCGACGAACAUGGUAUAUUCCGACGAACUUUCGAAGAAAAUGGUAUAUUUCGACGAAUUUCUGACGAAAAUGGUAUAUUCGUCGGAAAUUCGUCUGUAAUUGAAAUUUGACAACAAAAAAACCCGCCUAAUUUUUUGCGAAGCACCAAAAUAAAAAAUUCCGAUGAAUUUCUGACGAACAUAAUCCGUUAGAAAAUUUUAAUAUAAAAACGUAAGCCCCUUCUGCUUCCUUAUUUCUCCUCUCUCUCUCUAAACACACACAAAUUCUCUCCGAUUCUCUCUCUCUAGUCCCGCGAUUUUAAGCCUUAAACUCCUCAAAUCCACCUCACAAAUUAUGUAAGUCAUCUCUUCCCUUUUCGCAUUUGACUAAUGUUACUUUUUGAUUGUGAAAUUGUGAAUUUUAGGUUUUGAAUGUUGGAUCUAUGUUCGGAUGAAGAAUUUUAUGAAUUAGAUGUUUGAUUUUGUUGUGGUUUAGAUAGGUUUUGAUUGUGAUUUUGUGGUUUUUUUUAUUUAAUUUGUUGUUUUGUGAAGUUUAGAGAGUUUUUAUUAUUUUAUAAAAGAUUUUUCAAACUUUAAAACCUUUUUGAAGUUUUUUAUAAUUUUUGAAUGUUUAAAAAAUAUAUAUACUUUUUUUUUCAAGUUUUUAUUAUUUUUGUUGUUGUUUAAAACGUUUUUAUGUUCUAUUAAACUUUAUAAGCUUUUUAUAAAACAUUUUAAGAUUUCAUAAAAAGUUUUUAAUUUUGUUAUAAUUUAUAAAUUGGUUUUUGGUUUCUAAAGUUUAUCAAAACGUUUUUCACGUUUUUAAAAGCCUUUUCAAUCUAUAAAAGGUUUUUUUUUUCGUUUUUAGAUUUAAUUAAAACGUUUUUCAAUUUUUAGAAAACGGUUUCAUUUACAAAAACUGUUUUUUUUUUUAAUUUUANNNNNNNNNNNNNNNNNNNNNNNNNNNNNNNNNNNNNNNNNNNNNNNNNNNNNNNNNNNNNNNNNNNNNNNNNNNNNNNNNNNNNNNNNNNNNNNNNNNNAAUAAUGUACCUUGAUACCAAAAGCAAGGAAGUACAGAGAGCAGUGAGGCUGCUCCUAAGUUAUUUGAAGCAACAUGCAAAGACACGUUGAAGAUAUAUCAUGUCUUUCCACACUGUCUAUAAUGCUGUCAACGCCUUGGUCAUGCCCUUGUCUUGAUGUAUGUAUCCAAGCCUCGUAGCUUAUGAGUGUAUGUUGUUGUCUAAUUUACUUGGGAACCUUAAAGUGCAUAUUCAAGUAACAGUACCACAAAAAAAAAAAAAAAAGUAACAGUACCACCUUUUUACUCUAUUCACUCAAAAUUAGUCAGUUAAAAAAAUAUCAUUACUUAAACCUGUUACAAAUUGAUAUAUAACCUAAGCUGUGUUUCACUUCAGCAAUCUAAUUGUACUACAAAAAGUUUUGCAUCUCUACAUUACAACACCAAACAAACUUCACAAUGUGCUCCUCAAAUCCUUGUUCCACAAACGUCACCGAGAUAGAAUAGCAGAUAAUGGGUCUUCUGUUCAUACCAGAGCAUAAUCGAUGGUCAUCAAAGCAUUGUACGUUCCCUCAUUGGCCCGCUGUGGCAGGUGAAGAAACUGUAGUCCGGCUGAUUAAAUUGCAGAUGCUCAGGCCAAUUAUUUGCAGCUUGUUGCAAGGAAGAUAGCUUGUGGCACUCUUGCCUCUUGAGCUCUGCUUUGGUUCCACAGAGAUACUUUGAGCUUAUAAGAUGUGAGUCCAAAAGUAGGCACCAGUAGCUUUAGGGAUGGUUAGGUCUCACUACAACCAAGGAACCUGCUUGAACAAAUAGACAACACAAUGUAAGAGAUCUUUCUAGGUUGUGACAAUCAGACAUACAUAUUAUACUGAUAACAUCGAAAGCUUAUGUUACUACUUCCGUUGAGGAGGUGUUGCUGAGAGAGAGUGGAAAGUUAGAAAGUAGUCAUCAACGUGUUAUAAUGUUGGACAAACAGUUAUUGGGUACCUAAAUACCAACAAAUUAAAAGAUCACCGUUUCACACACAUAUAAAUAUAUAUAUAUAUAUAUAUUUCAAAGAUAACAACCUCCAGCCCCAAGAGAAGGUUUGCAGAUUGAAAGAGAAGCGACAUAAAAUACUCCAAGCAUUUAAAAAAAAAUGAUCGAAUUUUUAGGGUGUCAGUAAAAAAUUACCUUAUGCAAAGAUUUGUGAUGUCAAUGGAUAACAGUGCGUGCCGAUCAUUUUUUUGAAUAAACCAAACUACUAUAUCAUCUCUGUUUUGGUAAAUCUCUACUUUCUUAAUUUAAAAGAAAGAAACGUCAAAAGAAGACACAUAUGCGUCACAGGCCAGAACAAAACGUGAGAAUGAACUUAACAAACUUGGCUGUUCGUGAGUGAAGCACCUGCGGUUGGACCAAAUCCAGAAACUAUGUUCAGAACACCAGGAGGAAGACCUGCCUAUCAUAUAUUUCAAGAAACAUACUUAAGGCUUUUAUUUUAGUAGCAAAAAUGGUAAGUAGAACGUGAAAGGAACGAAACAUUGAUUACUUCAAAAAAAAGCUUACUGACAUAAAACCAGUGAGAGGAGUUUGUUCAGCGGUUUUGAGGACAAUGGUGUUACCACAAGUAAGAGCAAGACCAACUUUCCAAGCAAACAUCAGAAGCGGAAAGUUCCAUUGAAUGAUCUGUCCAGCAACGCAUAUCGGUUCAUGCAGUGUCUGGACGUGAUAGUUUCCAUUGGCUGGAAUUGUUAGUCCAUGAAUCUUAUCCGCCCCUCCUACACAUCAAAGAAAAACUUACCAACAAAAGCAAGAAAAUUUGAUAGUAUUCUCAAGAUUUUGAUGUAUAUACCAGCAUCAUUACAAAACAAACCGGCGAUCAUUGCAAUCUCUGCGGUUUUGGCUUGAUCAUAAGUAUUCCCAUUGCCACAUGUGUCUAGAGCUGCGAGCUCUUCGCUGUGUUUCUCAACCAAAUAUGUGAAUCUCAGCAUUAUCUUUGACUUUUCCUGAAAUUCAAACAAAGAUAAGUCCACAUCACAUUAAAUUUCAUAGCUUUCAAGAUCAAAAACAUUAUAUAGUAUUAUACAUAAGCAAUCAUCUAAGGCCAAGCUCCUUCAUCAAUGGACUUCCUUGCAGCUUUCAUUGCCCGGUUGAUAUCUUCAGCAUCGCCUUCAGCUACGUUCGCAAUGACUUCCUUUGUGCGUGUAUCAAGAGCUGGGAAGGUCUUACCUAAACCCAAUUAAAAAAUCAAACAUUAUUGCUCAAGGAACUAAAAUUUCAAGCGUCAAUAUUUUUCCUUGCUAUUCCUCCGUUUCUGAACAAAGCAUUUUUUAAAAUGAAAACUUUACUCACCAGAAGCAGCGCCUACGAAGUUCCCAUUGUUAAGGAAUUGUGUGUAAGAAAAUUGAACCGAUGGGAUUAUGAUUUCUUCAGCUGCAGAGGAGGUUCCAAAUCACCGUACGAUUUCCCUUUUAAUGUAACAAAUUCUCCAUAUAACCGAAGUGUUUUAAUACAUCAUAGCCACAUAUUCACAUAUUAAAGAAUCUAACUUCCGGUCUACUUUACAACAACAACUUUUUCUGCUUUAUUGUUGUACCCUACUAAACACUAAAUGUCAACUAAUCCAAGAAGCAGCAAUGAACACCUUAACGCACUUAAAAUCUAAAAGACCAAAGAACACACAGAUUCCAAAGGAGUCGAACCUGAGCUUGAGAAGUCUCGAUUCACCGUCUUGCGAUAGCUCUGAUAGCACGCCCUGACUUUAUCACUUUCUAUUUCUCAAAGGAGACUGAAAAACGUUGGUGAGACAUACCUAUAUCUCCAUAGUUGCAAUCAAUGGACCUCUGAGCUGCACAAUAAUUAUGUAAGAAAAAAACUUUUGUCCUUAAAGAAACUGAGAUCAAAAAGAGGCAAAUAAGAUGUCCUUACAUCAGACUGCUUGAUUUCACACAGGGUGCUGGGCAUAGAUUGGUUUUUGAUAGAUAAAUUACCGUCGUCCAACAGUGAAUACAUGGCCUCUCAUGAUACAGUGUGGGGUUCUGAAAUUACAUAAAAAAAACACUGGGACAGUUAGACACAGAAGUAUUGUAGUCAAUAAAUAAAAAAGUCUCGGACAUAACAGCAUAGUUCUGUCGGAAAAAUAUAAAAGAACCAAACAUGAAGCCAACUGAACUCGUUGGGCAUGAACUGAAAGACCAAACCUUCAACAAAAAAGUAUUACACGCACUGCACACUGCUAAACCUUAAAGGCGCAACUCGCAGACUAUUAGAUCAAACCAAUAAAAAAACUAUCACUGAUGAAACUUGACCCACCUGAGAAUACUGACAAAGUAGCUUCGCCCAUGGAGCCUUAGCUCGCUUCUUCCCCGCCUUCGAGUUCUCACCAUCCGUCACCACUUCACCUAAAUCCACAAAAACAGUAGAUAUGAUAAUUAAUCAGGGAAAAAUCGUGAGACAGACCACCAAACCAAACCUGCUAUUGUAGGUGUCUCCAAGACAUCGGCUUCAGGUUUUGUGUCGGCUUCAGGAUAGAUCUCCAUCACAGGCACAUCAGUUUAAACAGGUUUCUCCGCAUCCAUCAGGUAAUCAGAGGAUCCAAGCUCCGACUCUCCAGAUUCCGAUCCAGGAUCCGAAACCGGUCCUUGAUUCUCAUCAGGUAAUCAGAGGAUCCAAGCUCCGACUCUCCAGAUUCCGAUCCAGGAUCCGAAACCGGUCCUUGAUUCUCAACCAGAACCUCGCUGCCGAUGAAGACUCUGCUGGUUCCGCCGCCGCCGCCUAAACUAUUAAAAAAUCAAAAAUCAGAUUCGAAACCAAAAAAAAAAAGAAAGAAACUCAGAUUCGGACAAGAACAAACAUA
Molecule: long non-coding RNA, 7776 nt
Filed under: Brassica napus (rape)
Lineage: Eukaryota; Viridiplantae; Streptophyta; Magnoliopsida; Brassicales; Brassicaceae
Description: long non-coding RNA (BNAP_LNC004710)
Source: RNAcentral